AUUGAACGCUGGCGGAAUGCUUUACACAUGCAAGUCGAACGGCAGCACGGACUUCAGUCUGGUGGCGAGUGGCGAACGGGUGAGUAAUGUAUCGGAACGUGCCCAGUCGUGGGGGAUAACGUAGCGAGAAUUACGCUAAUACCGCAUACGAUCUAUGGAUGAAAGCGGGGGAUCGCAAGACCUCGCGCGAUUGGAGCGGCCGAUAUCAGAUUAGGUAGUUGGUGGGUAAAGGCCCACCAAGCCAACGAUCUGUAGCUGGUCUGAGAGGACGACCAGCCACACUGGAACUGAGACACGGUCCAGACUCCUACGGGAGGCAGCAGUGGGGAAUUUUGGGCAAUGGGCGAAAGCCUGAUCCAGCCAUUCCGCGUGCAGGAUGAAGGCCCUCGGGUUGUAAACUGCUUUUGUACGGAACGAAAAGGUUUCUACUAAUACUAGGAGCUCAUGACGGUACUGUAAGAAUAAGCACCGGCUAACUACGUGCCAGCCGCCGCAGUAA
This 499-nucleotide ribosomal RNA is filed under the name uncultured bacterium. RNAcentral describes it as "partial 16S ribosomal RNA". It matches the Rfam family "Bacterial small subunit ribosomal RNA", at positions 30 to 523 of the family's 1533-position model. The record is from RNAcentral.